This 279-nucleotide ribosomal RNA is filed under the name Escherichia coli. RNAcentral describes it as "partial 16S ribosomal RNA". It matches the Rfam family "Bacterial small subunit ribosomal RNA", at positions 1 to 276 of the family's 1533-position model. Lineage: Bacteria; Pseudomonadati; Pseudomonadota; Gammaproteobacteria; Enterobacterales; Enterobacteriaceae. The record is from RNAcentral.
AAAUUGAAGAGUUUGAUCAUGGCUCAGAUUGAACGCUGGCGGCAGGCCUAACACAUGCAAGUCGAACGGUAACAGGAAGGAGCUUGCUUCUUUGCUGACGAGUGGCGGACGGGUGAGUAAUGUCUGGGAAACUGCCUGAUGGAGGGGGAUAACUACUGGAAACGGUAGCUAAUACCGCAUAACGUCGCAAGACCAAAGAGGGGGACCUUCGGGCCUCUUGCCAUCGGAUGUGCCCAGAUGGGAUUAGCUAGUAGGUGGGGUAACGGCUCACCUAGGCGA